This 265-nucleotide ribosomal RNA is filed under the name Escherichia coli. Its description in RNAcentral is "partial 16S ribosomal RNA". It matches the Rfam family "Bacterial small subunit ribosomal RNA", at positions 878 to 1143 of the family's 1533-position model. Lineage: Bacteria; Pseudomonadati; Pseudomonadota; Gammaproteobacteria; Enterobacterales; Enterobacteriaceae. The record is from RNAcentral.
GAGUACGGCCGCAAGGUUAAAACUCAAAUGAAUUGACGGGGGCCCGCACAAGCGGUGGAGCAUGUGGUUUAAUUCGAUGCAACGCGAAGAACCUUACCUGGUCUUGACAUCCACGGAAGUUUUCAGAGAUGAGAAUGUGCCUUCGGGAACCGUGAGACAGGUGCUGCAUGGCUGUCGUCAGCUCGUGUUGUGAAAUGUUGGGUUAAGUCCCGCAACGAGCGCAACCCUUAUCCUUUGUUGCCAGCGGUCCGGCCGGGAACUCAAA